This 941-nucleotide long non-coding RNA is filed under the name Volvox carteri. Its description in RNAcentral is "long non-coding RNA (VCAR_LNC002699)". The record is from RNAcentral. Lineage: Eukaryota; Viridiplantae; Chlorophyta; Chlorophyceae; Chlamydomonadales; Volvocaceae.
UUUUACCUUCCUUGGCAUACAGCGCAAUCAGGCUUGUUGGGGCAGCCCCCGCGAGUUGUAAGUUGCAAGAUUGGCUCGGCGUUCCCAUCUUGGCUUCUUCAAGCAACUUUACCCUGGGUUCCGCAAGCUACUCCACCCAGCUAUUUUGCGUUAACGCUGCUUGUGCCGCUGGUCUCUGCAACACGGAUUUCUGUAGAGAGCCGUACAUCAAGCCAAACACAAGCUCUUGUCGUUACAAGCAGCACCCAUAUCGGCAGCGAACAUAUAGCCAUCACAACGAAAUUGUCACGACAGGUCAAGGCCGCACACAGCGAUCCAUGCAGCGGUGCAAUAACCAACGUUAGCCACUCUUGUGUACAUGUCUGGUUCUGUCAAGGACUGGUAUUAAGCGAGGUUAUAACACCACUUGUUCCCUGGCAUGAAAAUAAGCAAGCACAAGGUUGUGUGGCAAUGACUCUCCUAUUAAGACUAGAAAGACUUCCCAGCCAUCUUUCCAACCCCCAUUAGUAAGGUUGCGAUCCGUCCACCUUCCUUCCAUGUGAAAUGCCCCCAAUGGGGACAUUUACUUAUAACUCGACUAUAUAGCUGUAGUAUGCGGAUGCGACAGAGGUGGGGCGCUGGAUGGCCUAUGCUGGGGUGUCGUGGAUGCUACCGAAGUAAGGCUGGGUGAUCUAUGCUGCCGGGUCGUGAAGGAGAUCAAAAUACGGCUGGAGGGCUUAGGCUGAGAGGUCGAUGCGUGAUGCAUGCGACCGAAAUAAGGCAGAGGAUGCCCUGCAUUGGGAUCGCAGACAAACUGCUGCCGACCCCUGUUGACAUGAUGGGAACAUGGUCCCCUGAUGGUUGACUUGGAUCCCCAGGUGAGACCAGCCGGAAGGAGGAGAUACCGCCUUCACAGCAGAGACCGGCUGGAUGAGGAACCGGAAGUGCAGGAUGAGGGUACC